RNAcentral lists this ribosomal RNA (731 nucleotides) under Kurthia gibsonii. RNAcentral describes it as "bacterial SSU rRNA". It matches the Rfam family "Bacterial small subunit ribosomal RNA", at positions 24 to 740 of the family's 1533-position model. The record is from RNAcentral. Lineage: Bacteria; Bacillati; Bacillota; Bacilli; Caryophanales; Caryophanaceae.
UCAGGACGAACGCUGGCGGCGUGCCUAAUACAUGCAAGUCGAGCGAAUGACGAGAAGCUUGCUUCUCUGAUUUAGCGGCGGACGGGUGAGUAACACGUGGGCAACCUGCCCUACAGAUUGGGAUAACUCAGGGAAACCUGGGCUAAUACCGAAUAAUCCUUCGAAUCACAUGUUUUGAAGUUGAAAGGCGCUUCGGCGUCACUGUAGGAUGGGCCCGCGGUGCAUUAGCUAGUUGGUGGGGUAACGGCCUACCAAGGCAACGAUGCAUAGCCGACCUGAGAGGGUGAUCGGCCACAUUGGGACUGAGACACGGCCCAAACUCCUACGGGAGGCAGCAGUAGGGAAUCUUCCACAAUGGACGAAAGUCUGAUGGAGCAACGCCGCGUGAGUGAUGAAGGUUUUCGGAUCGUAAAACUCUGUUGUAAGGGAAGAACAAGUACGUUAGGAAAUGAACGUACCUUGACGGUACCUUAUUAGAAAGCCACGGCUAACUACGUGCCAGCAGCCGCGGUAAUACGUAGGUGGCAAGCGUUGUCCGGAUUUAUUGGGCGUAAAGCGCGCGCAGGUGGUUUCUUAAGUCUGAUGUGAAAGCCCACGGCUCAACCGUGGAGGGUCAUUGGAAACUGGGGAACUUGAGUGCAGAAGAGGAUAGUGGAAUUCCAAGUGUAGCGGUGAAAUGCGUAGAGAUUUGGAGGAACACCAGUGGCGAAGGCGACUGUCUGGUCUGUAAC